GGGCGAUUAGCUCAGCUGGAAGAGCAUCCGCCUUACAAGCGGAGGGUCGGCGGUUCGAGCCCGUCAUCGCCCACCA
RNAcentral lists this transfer RNA (76 nucleotides) under Deinococcota bacterium. Its description in RNAcentral is "tRNA-Val". It matches the Rfam family "tRNA". Rfam says of the family: Transfer RNA (tRNA) molecules are approximately 80 nucleotides in length. Their secondary structure includes four short double-helical elements and three loops (D, anti-codon, and T loops). Further hydrogen bonds mediate the characteristic L-shaped molecular structure. tRNAs have two regions of fundamental functional importance: the anti-codon, which is responsible for specific mRNA codon recognition, and the 3' end, to which the tRNAs corresponding amino acid is attached (by aminoacyl-tRNA synthetases). tRNAs cope with the degeneracy of the genetic code in two manners: having more than one tRNA (with a specific anti-codon) for a particular amino acid; and 'wobble' base-pairing, i.e. permitting non-standard base-pairing at the 3rd anti-codon position. Lineage: Bacteria; Thermotogati; Deinococcota. The record is from RNAcentral.